Molecule: transfer RNA, 65 nt
Filed under: Anigozanthos flavidus (tall kangaroo paw)
Lineage: Eukaryota; Viridiplantae; Streptophyta; Magnoliopsida; Commelinales; Haemodoraceae
Description: tRNA-Leu
Rfam family: tRNA
About the family: Transfer RNA (tRNA) molecules are approximately 80 nucleotides in length. Their secondary structure includes four short double-helical elements and three loops (D, anti-codon, and T loops).
Source: RNAcentral
AGACGCUACGGACUUAAAAUCCGUCGAUUUUAGAAAUCGUGAGGGUUCAAGUCCCUCUAUCCCCA